ACAGCGUGAACUCCUCAAGAGCCCUCCGGUCUGGGAGCACCACUGCCUGCUCCACACCUGGCAGCUGUUCCUGCAGAGAGGGACAGAACCCACGUCCAGCAGGGACUGUCCCUGUCCCUGGGAGCCAGCCCUGCACACCCAUGGCACCGCAGCAGCACCACCACCGGUGUCGUCGAGUUCCAGCCCCAGCACUUGCCACCCGCCGCCACACACACCACACAGGUUCCUUCACUGACAGAAAAUCAACAGAAAGCAAAACCCAACUGUGGGUUGAGGCAGAAAAUCAAACCAGUUGUUCAAGCCCUCAGUGACAGAGGCUCCUUCCAGCUGCUGCGCCAGCCUAUGACACGUGUAAACCAAAACAGCUCAGCUACUGCCAACAGAAGCUCUGCUCACUACAGCAGGUGCCAGGAGGACACCCCAAGUCCUCAGAAGCCUUCAGCUGUGUUGAACUCUGG
Non-coding RNA from Agelaius phoeniceus (red-winged blackbird), 458 nucleotides. The record is from RefSeq and is a predicted model, not a curated record. Lineage: Eukaryota; Metazoa; Chordata; Aves; Passeriformes; Icteridae.